Molecule: ribosomal RNA, 407 nt
Filed under: uncultured bacterium
Lineage: Bacteria
Description: partial 16S ribosomal RNA
Rfam family: Bacterial small subunit ribosomal RNA
Source: RNAcentral
AUUGAACGCUGGCGGCAGGCCUAACACAUGCAAGUCGAGCGGAGCGGCGGACGGGUGAGUACUGCCUAGGAAUCAGCCUGGUAGUGGGGGAUAACGUCCGGAAACGGGCGCUAAUACCGCAUACUAUCAGAUGAGCCUCGGUCGGAUUAGCUAGUUGGUGGGGUAAAGGCCUACCAAGGCGACGACCCGUAACUGGUCUGAGAGGAUGAUCAGUCAAACUGGAAAUGAGACACGGUCCCGAUUCCUACGUGAGGCAGCAGUGGGGAAUAUUGGACAAUGUGCGAAAGCCUGAUCCAGCCAUGCAGCGUGUAUGAAGAAGGUCUUCGGGUUGUAAAGCACUUUAAGUUGGGAGGCGUUACCAGCAGAAUAAGCACCGGCUAACUACGUGCCAGCAGCCGCGGUAAUAC